Molecule: transfer RNA, 85 nt
Filed under: Phlebopus sp. FC_14
Lineage: Eukaryota; Fungi; Basidiomycota; Agaricomycetes; Boletales; Boletinellaceae
Rfam family: tRNA
About the family: Transfer RNA (tRNA) molecules are approximately 80 nucleotides in length. Their secondary structure includes four short double-helical elements and three loops (D, anti-codon, and T loops). Further hydrogen bonds mediate the characteristic L-shaped molecular structure. tRNAs have two regions of fundamental functional importance: the anti-codon, which is responsible for specific mRNA codon recognition, and the 3' end, to which the tRNAs corresponding amino acid is attached (by aminoacyl-tRNA synthetases). tRNAs cope with the degeneracy of the genetic code in two manners: having more than one tRNA (with a specific anti-codon) for a particular amino acid; and 'wobble' base-pairing, i.e. permitting non-standard base-pairing at the 3rd anti-codon position.
Source: Rfam by way of RNAcentral
UCUCUGGUAGUAUAUCGGAUAGUACAUCCGCCUGUCACUUCAAAAGGAUUCGCGGAAGAGCGGGGUUCGACUCCCCGCCAGAGAG